UGGGAACAAGCUGUUUUAGCAUUUCAUUUACACUGAAAAGGUUCUUGUAAUACCACAAGGUUCUCAA
Molecule: transfer RNA, 67 nt
Filed under: Tesseropora rosea
Lineage: Eukaryota; Metazoa; Arthropoda; Thecostraca; Balanomorpha; Tetraclitidae
Description: tRNA-Val
Source: RNAcentral